Cheilinus undulatus (humphead wrasse) is the source of this 1003-nucleotide long non-coding RNA. RefSeq lists it as uncharacterized. The record is from RefSeq and is a predicted model, not a curated record. The transcript is spliced from 3 exons. Lineage: Eukaryota; Metazoa; Chordata; Actinopteri; Labriformes; Labridae.
ACUUGCACCGGUGGACUGGUCAGGCUUUCUCUUGAGCUAACGCUAUCUUUCCCAAGUGAGCCAACUCUCAAUUCAAAAUGGCGACGUCAAUACAACGGAAGUCGAAGCAGGGAGUGGCUCCAUCACCUCCAGUACCACAGUGCGAGUCCCUGUCAUCACCAAUCUUGUGACCGUCCUGUAGUCCAGAUGCAACAGUAUGCUGAGCUCAGGACACAUGGUGCUGUGGGGGAGAAGUUCACCACAAGUGUAGAACAUGUGUUGGACCCAGGUGGCGUUGUGACCAGGAUCUGACUCACUGCCGGACGCUCCAGACUUGCGGUUUCACUGUUCGACAGCGUGAGACAUCCCACUCACUGAAAACUCCAUUGAAAUCUUAACAAAAACAACAAAAUCACUCCUAAUAGGCCUCUUCUUGGACAACCGAGCUACAGGACUACAGCUGUUUCUCAUGGGCUGUUGCCAUAAAUCUCCAGUGAGUGGCUGGUUUGAGGGUGGGUGCUAAGGAGCAGCUGUACACGUCUAAAAAUAGUUCCAAGGCUGCGGCUGGACAGCACAUUAAAGCUCAACAUGCAGUUUAGCACAAAGAGCCUAUCCUAUCAACAAUACCUGCAGUAACACAACUGUACCCUGGCAUCAGCAUUGCUGUGCAGGAAGUGACUGACUGUUGUGCAAACUGAACAUCCGCGCAUGUCACUGCGUCUGACUCACACCUCCAAACAACUGCCAAAUCCUGACCACAUAAUUCAGACGUACUUUAUUUUUCCAGUGAGCUGAAUGUUCGUUAUCAGUGUGUCGUGGCCCGAGGCAGAACGCUCCCUCCUCGCUGUGGUGACAACCACCGGCCGUCCUGAUGGAAAACAAAGCCAAGAUGGCACAGCAAACAUGAAAUCACUCUGACAGGCAGAGCUGAACAAAGUAGGACUCAGCACACUAAGCACAUUUUAUCACUGUUUUCUAUUAGUCAGGUUCCCCCCAUGAAUUAAAGAACAAACUGAAAUUCCUA